Molecule: ribosomal RNA, 553 nt
Filed under: uncultured bacterium
Lineage: Bacteria
Description: bacterial SSU rRNA
Rfam family: Bacterial small subunit ribosomal RNA
Source: RNAcentral
GAGUUUGAUCCUGGCUCAGGAUAAACGCUGGCGGCGCACAUAAGACAUGCAAGUCGAACGGAAGUCGUUGUAAUGAUAUAGACAUGGACGGAGAACUUGUUCGAAGAAAGUGAAAGUUGACUUACAACAAUGGCUUUAGUGGCGGACUGGUGAGUAACACGUAAGCAACCUGCCUAUCAGAGGGGAACAACAGUUAGAAAUGACUGCUAAUACCGCAUAUGCCUUAGCAACACAUGUUGCAAAAGGGAAAGGAGCAAUCCACUGAUAGAUGGGCUUGCGUCUGAUUAGAUAGUUGGUGGGGUAACGGCCUACCAAGUCGACGAUCAGUAGCCGGACUGAGAGGUUGAACGGCCACAUUGGGACUGAGAUACGGCCCAGACUCCUACGGGAGGCAGCAGUCGGGAAUAUUGCGCAAUGGAGGAAACUCUGACGCAGUGACGCCGCGUGCAGGAAGAAGGUUUUCGGAUUGUAAACUGCUUUAGACAGGGAAGAACAAAGACAGUACCUGUAGAAUAAGCUCCGGCUAACUACGUGCCAGCCGCCGCGGUAAUUA